GUGGGGAAUCUUAGACAAUGGGGGCAACCCUGAUCUAGCCAUGCCGCGUGAGUGAUGAAGGCCUUAGGGUUGUAAAGCUCUUUCAGUGGGGAAGAUAAUGACGGUACCCACAGAAGAAGCCCCGGCUAACUCCGUGCCAGCAGCCGCGGUAAUACGGAGGGGGCUAGCGUUGUUCGGAAUUACUGGGCGUAAAGCGCACGUAGGCGGAUCGGAAAGUUGGGGGUGAAAUCCCAGGGCUCAACCCUGGAACUGCCUUCAAAACUAUCGGUCUGGAGUCCGAGAGAGGUGAGUGGAAGUCCGAGUGUAGAGGUGAAAUUCGUAGAUAUUCGGAGGAACACCAGUGGCGAAGGCGGCUCACUGGCUCGGUACUGACGCUGAGGUGCGAAAGCGUGGGGAGCAAACAGGAUUAGAUACCCUAGUAGUCC
RNAcentral lists this ribosomal RNA (425 nucleotides) under uncultured bacterium. RNAcentral describes it as "partial 16S ribosomal RNA". It matches the Rfam family "Bacterial small subunit ribosomal RNA", at positions 354 to 796 of the family's 1533-position model. The record is from RNAcentral.